GGGCGGAUGGCGGAACUGGCAGACGCGCUAGAUUUAGGAUCUAGUGGGGCAACCCGUGGAGGUUCGAGUCCUCUUCCGCCCACCA
This 85-nucleotide transfer RNA is filed under the name Candidatus Omnitrophota bacterium. RNAcentral describes it as "Candidatus Omnitrophica bacterium tRNA-Leu". It matches the Rfam family "tRNA". Rfam says of the family: Transfer RNA (tRNA) molecules are approximately 80 nucleotides in length. Their secondary structure includes four short double-helical elements and three loops (D, anti-codon, and T loops). The record is from RNAcentral. Lineage: Bacteria; Pseudomonadati; Candidatus Omnitrophota.